This 207-nucleotide ribosomal RNA is filed under the name uncultured bacterium. RNAcentral's name for it is "partial 16S ribosomal RNA". It matches the Rfam family "Bacterial small subunit ribosomal RNA", at positions 568 to 774 of the family's 1533-position model. The record is from RNAcentral.
CGCGUAGGCGGUUUUAUAAGUUGGAUGUGAAAGCCCUGGGCUUAACCUAGGAACUGCAUUCAGAACUGUAAGACUAGAGUAUUGUAGAGGGUAGUGGAAUUUCCGGUGUAGCGGUGAAAUGCGUAGAGAUCGGAAGGAACACCAGUGGCGAAGGCGGCUACCUGGACAAAUGCUGACGCUGAGGCGCGAAAGCGUGGGGAGCAAACA